Phascolarctos cinereus (koala) is the source of this 1575-nucleotide long non-coding RNA. The record is from Ensembl. Lineage: Eukaryota; Metazoa; Chordata; Mammalia; Diprotodontia; Phascolarctidae.
GUUUUCCUCCUAAGUCUGCGGGGCAUGUGGAAAAAAAUAGUUGCAAAAUAACUAUUUAGCUAGCAGUCUCCUAAAGAGUGUCCUCAACACACCCACCGCUCCAGGCCUCCUCCUUAAACUACUUCUCCAACAACCGGAAUCCGUCUCUAAAGUUUCUGUCUGGCGAUCUGCGCGCAUAGGUUCAAACCUAGGAAAAUGGGAUCCAAACACAGGGAGGAAGAAAAAAAAACGUCCUUUCCCCUUUGGCUGUGAACUUUCCCUUCUGGUAAGUUCUCCUUUAAGAAAUGAACUGUUCCCUAUGAAUAUUUAAUGCUGUUUGUCUGAAGUAUCCAGAUGACGCGUACUGGAGCCUGCCUCACAUACAGGUCCUGAAUUAUGGUGGAGUAAAUCAGCACCCUCUAAACGCACCCACCGCAAUGAGUUCUGGUGGCAUCCAGUUGCUAAUGCUAUUAAGCAUACGUAUUCCACACGAGAGAAAAGAAAAGAUAAAAUGUGGUUUCAUAUUUUGCUCAAAAUGAGACCGGUUUCCUGUCUGUGUAUCGAGUGGAAGAACACCGCAAGGGCUGAGUAAAUGGAAAACAUCCAAAGAGCAAAAGAGGGAAGAGGAUUCCUUUGGUCUGGUUUUGUGUUUUUGUCUUGUUCUUCCACCUAGAUGCCCUCUUCAAAGUUACAUAAGAAUUGGAAACAGUAAAAUAAAUUGCUUUAAUUGAUGAUGUGCCAUUACCCGGCCACACAGGUAUUAGUGGGUCCUUUUUACAAAGCUACUCCUGUGCAGGAUUUUCCUCAGGAACCUUCAGAAAGUGUCAAGGAGAAGUAGCCACACAGGACGUGAAAGAGUCUCAGCAGGGCAAGAAAGUACCAGGACUGCUUAGGACAGAGCCAGGAUUCCUGGAGCACUCUGUCUUUGGCAUCACUGCCCCCAGAAGGCAUAUUCCUGCCUGUGACCUAAAACAAGUCCAAACCAGCUACCUAACUGAAGUCAACUCCAGUCGCCUCUCACAGUACUACCAGUACCCCUAGUUCGCCUGACAACAAAAAACCCAGCAAGUCUCUGCUUGAACUAGCUUGGAAGCCAAGCCAAACCAACACCAGAGUCACCAACCCACAUCAUUCGGUCAGUUUGGAAACAGAAGGGGCCAGACCCUCUCCCAUCUCCUAACAGCCUCACCAAAAUGGAUAGAUUCUUAAAGCCCAACAGACACCAGAGUGCCAUUUAAAACCUAGGCACGUUUUUGGAGCCCAAGGGAACAAUUGACUAGAUUCAGUGUCUCUGGAACUGGGUACAUGCCUGUAAGGUGUGUGAUCCUUUAAAGAUCCGUGUUACUAGCUUUGCAUGAAGGCUUUGUUACAGCUUUGUCAGCUUGCUUGCAUUCAGCAACCUUGCUCCCACCCCCACCCUCCCUUUUCCUCUUCUCCCCUCAACUGCCUAUUCUAGCAAUGCCUGGCUGAGUUGUUUUGAAGCUCCCCUUUAAAUACAUUUCAUGCGAAAGUUGUAUGCUGACUAUGCACUGGGUCUCCCUUUGGGAACCGUGGUCUCCCUUUGCUUGUUGCAAAUAAACAGGAUUUUUACUCCCA